Molecule: ribosomal RNA, 906 nt
Filed under: Alternaria terricola
Lineage: Eukaryota; Fungi; Ascomycota; Dothideomycetes; Pleosporales; Pleosporaceae
Description: LSU rRNA
Rfam family: Eukaryotic large subunit ribosomal RNA
Source: RNAcentral
UAGCAUAUCAAUAAGCGGAGGAAAAGAAACCAACAGGGAUUGCCCUAGUAACGGCGAGUGAAGCGGCAACAGCUCAAAUUUGAAAUCUGGCUCUUUUAGAGUCCGAGUUGUAAUUUGCAGAGGGCGCUUUGGCUUUGGCAGCGGUCCAAGUUCCUUGGAACAGGACGUCACAGAGGGUGAGAAUCCCGUACGUGGUCGCUGGCUAUUGCCGUGUAAAGCCCCUUCGACGAGUCGAGUUGUUUGGGAAUGCAGCUCUAAAUGGGAGGUACAUUUCUUCUAAAGCUAAAUAUUGGCCAGAGACCGAUAGCGCACAAGUAGAGUGAUCGAAAGAUGAAAAGCACUUUGGAAAGAGAGUCAAACAGCACGUGAAAUUGUUAAAAGGGAAGCGCUUGCAGCCAGACUUGCUUACAGUUGCUCAUCCGGGCUUUUGCCCGGUGCACUCUUCUGUAGGCAGGCCAGCAUCAGUUUGGGCGGUAGGAUAAAGGUCUCUGUCACGUACCUCCUUUCGGGGAGGCCUUAUAGGGGAGACGACAUACUACCAGCCUGGACUGAGGUCCGCGCAUCUGCUAGGAUGCUGGCGUAAUGGCUGUAAGCGGCCCGUCUUGAAACACGGACCAAGGAGUCUAACAUCUAUGCGAGUGUUUGGGUGUCAAGCCCGAGCGCGUAAUGAAAGUGAACGGAGGUGGGAACCCGCAAGGGUGCACCAUCGACCGAUCCUGAUGUCUUCGGAAGGAUUUGAGUAAGAGCAUGGCUGUUGGGACCCGAAAGAUGGUGAACUAUGCUUGAAUAGGGUGAAGCCAGAGGAAACUCUGGUGGAGGCUCGCAGCGGUUCUGACGUGCAAAUCGAUCGUCAAAUUUGGGCAUAGGGGCGAAAGACUAAUCGAACUAUCUAGUAGCUGGUUCUGC